ACAUCCAGCGAACUUGGCAGAGAUGCCUUGGUGCCUUCGGGAACGCUGAGACAGGUGCUGCAUGGCUGUCGUCAGCUCGUGUUGUGAAAUGUUGGGUUAAGUCCCGCAACGAGCGCAACCCUUAUCCUUUGUUGCCAGCGAUUCGGUCGGGAACUCAAAGGAGACUGCCGGUGAUAAACCGGAGGAAGGUGGGGAUGACGUCAAGUCAUCAUGGCCCUUACGAGUAGGGCUACACACGUGCUACAAUGGCGCAUACAAAAGAGAAGCGACCUCGCGAGAGCAAGCGGACCUCAUAAAGUGCGUCGUAGUCCGGAUCGGAGUCUGCAACUCGACUCCGUGAAGUCGGAAUCGCUAGUAAUCGUGGAUCAGAAUGCCACGGUGAAUACGUUCCCGGGCCUUGUACACACCGCCCGUCACACCAUGGGAGUGGGUUGCAAAAGAAGUAGGUAGCUUAACCUUCGGGAGGGCGCUUACCACUUUGUGAUUCAUGACUGGGGUGAAGUCGUAACAAGGUAGGCGUAGCGAG
Molecule: ribosomal RNA, 526 nt
Filed under: uncultured bacterium
Lineage: Bacteria
Description: bacterial SSU rRNA
Rfam family: Bacterial small subunit ribosomal RNA
Source: RNAcentral